AUUGAACGCUGGCGGCAGGCCUAACACAUGCAAGUCGAGCGGAUGAAGGGAGCUUGCUCCUGGAUUCAGCGGCGGACGGGUGAGUAAUGCCUAGGAAUCUGCCUUGUAGUGGGGGAUAACGUCCGGAAACGGGCGCUAAUACCGCAUACGUCCUGAGGGAGAGAGUGGGGGAUCUUCGGACCUCACGCUAUCAGAUGAGCCUAGGUCGGAUUAGCUAGUUGGUGGGGUAAUGGCCUACCAAGGCGACGAUCCGUAACUGGCCGAGGAGGCGGAUCGGUCAACAUGAACUGGAACACCGUCCAGACUCCUACCGGAGGGAACAGUGGGGGAUUGUUGACAAUGGGCGGAAAGCUGGACCCACCCAGCCGGGGGGUGUGAAGAAGUCCUCCGAUUGGUAAGGAAAUUUAGUUGGGGAGGAGGGGAAUAAGUUAAUACCUUGCUUGUUUGAAGGUACCAACAGAAUAAGCACCGGCUAACUUCGUG
This 483-nucleotide ribosomal RNA is filed under the name uncultured bacterium. RNAcentral's name for it is "partial 16S ribosomal RNA". It matches the Rfam family "Bacterial small subunit ribosomal RNA", at positions 30 to 507 of the family's 1533-position model. The record is from RNAcentral.